AUUCAGCUGAUGAGUUCCAAAUAAGACGAUAUGCGCAUCUAACUAGAU
This 48-nucleotide non-coding RNA is filed under the name Schistosoma mansoni. Lineage: Eukaryota; Metazoa; Platyhelminthes; Trematoda; Strigeidida; Schistosomatidae. The record is from RNAcentral.